GCGUUAAUCGGAAUUACUGGGCGUAAAGCGUGCGCAGGCGGUCUGUUAAGUCUGCUGUGAAAUCCCCGAGCUCAACUUGGGAAUUGCAGUGGAUACUGGCAGGCUGGAGUACGGUAGAGGAAGGUGGAAUUCCCGGUGUAGCAGUGAAAUGCGUAGAGAUCGGGAGGAACACCAGUGGCGAAGGCGGCCUUCUGGACCAGUACUGACGCUCAUGCACGAAAGCGUGGGGAGCAAACAGGAUUAGAUACCCUGGUAGUCCACGCCCUAAACGAUGCGAACUGGAUGUUGGGUACAUUACGGUACUCAGUGUCGAAGCUAACGCGUUAAGUUCCCCGCCUGGGGAGUACGGUCGCAAGACUGAAACUCA
RNAcentral lists this ribosomal RNA (367 nucleotides) under uncultured Lysobacteraceae bacterium. Its description in RNAcentral is "bacterial SSU rRNA". It matches the Rfam family "Bacterial small subunit ribosomal RNA", at positions 538 to 903 of the family's 1533-position model. Lineage: Bacteria; Pseudomonadati; Pseudomonadota; Gammaproteobacteria; Lysobacterales; Lysobacteraceae. The record is from RNAcentral.